Molecule: unclassified non-coding RNA, 222 nt
Filed under: Hevea brasiliensis (rubber tree)
Lineage: Eukaryota; Viridiplantae; Streptophyta; Magnoliopsida; Malpighiales; Euphorbiaceae
Source: RNAcentral
GUAAAGCAAGGUAAUGAAAAUGUGAAUGGUGAAGUAUGUCACAUGGAAUCAACUUGGGAAUCAGAAAUUGAUGUUGUGAUCUUAAGUUCAUUUAAUGGAGGAACCGAGCAAAGGAUUGAUUCUCACGAAAUAGGCAGUGUUGAAGAAGUUUUUCGUAUAGCUAAAGAGGGAUGCAGAGUGUUUAACUUAGGUUUAAUGGCUAAUGUUUGUGGCACAAAAUCA